This 228-nucleotide long non-coding RNA is filed under the name Homo sapiens (human). RNAcentral describes it as "non-protein coding lnc-GTF3C3-1:2". The record is from RNAcentral. Lineage: Eukaryota; Metazoa; Chordata; Mammalia; Primates; Hominidae.
GAUUUCUGCAUUUUCACAGAGUUAUUCCUUUGUAGUUGUGAUCCAGCAUGGAUGUGGUGUGGUUGUAUCAGUGACUGCAGGUAGUCUGUGGAGCAUUACACAGUUCUUUACGGAAAUAGCAGCUGCAAGUGACCAGGACCACUGACAGCAGAAGGCACCUCACUUACCAUGGUAAAAAGCAGUUUAGAAAAAUCUCAAAAACAAAAUAAAUGUUUAUUGGAGACUCAA